GUGAAUCAUCAAAUUUUUGAACGCAAAUUGCACUCUCUGGUAUUCCGGAGAGUAUUUGUGUUUGAGGGUAAGUUUAAAUAAAAAUCGGUGUGGUUGGUGCUUUUCGUGGUGACGCAUCGGAUUUGAGUCGUCUUGCGUUCGUAUACGUGAUAUAAUAAUUUGCAUGAUUUUUUUCGACUGUAUUUGAAUGAUUUUACGUACGUUUGCGAUGUCGAAUUCUAUGUGUGGUCUUC
RNAcentral lists this unclassified non-coding RNA (233 nucleotides) under Glomeraceae sp. RNAcentral's name for it is "partial contains 5.8S ribosomal RNA and internal transcribed spacer 2". The stretch from base 1 to 71 matches the Rfam family "5.8S ribosomal RNA", at positions 84 to 154 of the family's 154-position model. The record is from RNAcentral. Lineage: Eukaryota; Fungi; Glomeromycota; Glomeromycetes; Glomerales; Glomeraceae.